RNAcentral lists this long non-coding RNA (9363 nucleotides) under Solanum tuberosum (potato). RNAcentral describes it as "long non-coding RNA (STUB_LNC002317)". The record is from RNAcentral. Lineage: Eukaryota; Viridiplantae; Streptophyta; Magnoliopsida; Solanales; Solanaceae.
GAGUAUUGAUGGUUGAAUGUCUUGUGGUUUCUGUUAAACAGAUGAAGGAGAUUGUGAGAAACUAUUUUGUAGAAGCAAAGUGGUUCAUUGAGGGAUAUAUGCCGCCUGUUUCUGAGUAUCUUAGCAAUGCAUUAGCUACCAGCACAUAUUACUUGCUAACUACAACAUCCUAUUUGGGAGUGAAGUCAGCAACAAAGGAAGAUUUUGAAUGGUUGGCUACGAACCCUAAAAUUCUUGAAGCCAAUGUGACAUUAUGCCGAGUUGUUGAUGACAUAGCAACGUAUGAGGUAAUUAGCAUCGCAUUACACUACAUAAAUCAUCUUAUAAUUUAGAGUUACAGUAAUUUAAUACAAAUUGAUUUCACAUACUUAUAAAUGAAUUAUAAUUGCCAUUCCAGGUUGAGAAGGGUAGGGGCCAAAUCGCAACAGGAAUUGAGUGUUAUAUGAGGGAUUAUGACGUAUCAACAGAAGUAGCAAUGGAAAAAUUCCAAGAGAUGGCUGAGAUAGCAUGGAAGGAUGUAAAUGAAGGAAUUCUUCGACCAACACCUGUCUCUACAGAAAUUCUUACUCGCAUUCUCAAUCUUGCUCGUAUUAUAGAUGUCACUUACAAGCACAAUCAAGAUGGAUACACUCAUCCCGAAAAAGUUCUAAAACCUCACAUCAUUGCUUUACUGGUGGACUCCAUUGAGAUCUAAACCAUUGAGUUUUUUUUUCCUUUUAGUUCCAUCUAUAUAAGUUUCCUGUAAUACUACUGUACUUAAUUAAAACGUUUUUGUACCAUUAAUUUUUUAUAUCUUAAUAAUACUUCUUUUGUACCUAGCUCGAUCUUCUUUUUAUUUGCUAAAAUAAAUUGUAAGAUUUUAAGCAAAGAAACUGCCAUAUUGAUCAUCUAACAAUAAGGAGAAAGAGUGAAAAAAACAUAAGCUUUAUCUAAGCAAGUGACACUAGUACUAAAUUCUAAUAACAUACUACUCAUGAGGUUAAUAGUACUUUUAGGGUGUGUUUGGUAUGAAGGAAAAUGUUUUCCUGGAAAACAAGUAGGCUUUUGACUUAUUUUUUCAUGUUUGAUUGGUAAGUAGAAAAUAUUUUUUAGUGUUUGAUUUAUGAAUGAAAAUUAUUUUUGAGAAAAUAUCUCUUUUUUACUAGAGAGUAGAAAAUAAUUUUUGAAUUGAAAUUGAAAAUAUUUUAAAAAAAUAAACUUAAUUUUUUUUGGGUGGGAGGCAGUGGCGGACCCAGGAUUUUCACGAAAUGGGUUCAAGAUAUAAAAAUAUACCUAAUAUUAUUUGUAAUUUUUAUAGGCUAACAGCAUACAUAUCUGACUAUACUAAACAAUGUUAAUACAUUUGAAAAAAAUUUACAUUGACUUAGGAAUGAGACGGUAAAUAACAAGAUGGACGAAAAACUAGGCUUCAAUAUAAACUAAGAAGAUAAAAGAAUAUUAUGAAUGAUUUCUCUUCAUUCAACAUUUAGCAAAUAAAAACAAAAUGUUAAACAAAAUAAUUAUAACCUUAAUUUCAGAAUCGAAUACAUAGAAAUAUACCUAAUAUUAUUUGUAAUUUUUUGUUGAUUUUAGAAUGAUAAGGGAUUUUUUAGUUGAAGAAAUAAAAAAUAACCACAAUAAUCAUAUAUGUAUAUAUAAAGACUAGAAUCAAGAGCGAAAAACAUACUUGAUGGAUAUUGACUAUUGAUGUGAGAUUUGAGAGACGGGGAGAGUUUUUUUUCCUUCAAUAAAAAAAUAUGGUCAAAAUUUUGGGGAGGAAAGUAAGAGAGGUUCAAGAAGAUUUCAACAAAGAAGAAGACAAAAGAGUUUUUAGAAUUGAGAAUAAUAGGGAUUAGUGUCCUUUUUCGUGUUUAAGUUUUUUUUUUAAAAAAAAUUAAAACAAAAGGACAAAAGUUGUUGACUAUUGGACUUUUAAUUGUAAAAGUAAAAAGUUAGUUCUACUUUUUAUAGUUUCUAAGUAACUAAAAGGACAAAAGUAACACCUACAUAGAGGAAAAAAAUUGUGUGUGAACGUUUUAUAUAUAAAAAAAACGAAUUAAAACUAAAAAUGUGGCAAUGGGGAUUCGAUCCCGGGUUGGAUGGGAACAUUGAACCUCCCUCAACCACUCAGCUAAGCUUCAAACUUGUGUUAGUGGGUUCAAAAUUUAAUAUAUACAUAUAAAAUUUUAAAAACUGAUUAAAUAUACAUAUAUAUACAGUGUUAUUUUUCAAUGAAGUGGGUUCAUAUGAACCAACUUGAACCACUGUAGGUCCGCCCCUGGUCAUAUAGGCCCAUGUUGGACAUCCAAUUGCUUCGAUUUGAAUUAUCUAGAACGCAAGUUGAAUCACAACGAAUAUUAUGAUCAAACAUGAUUUUCAGAAUUAUUAUUCGAGAAAAAGUAAAAUAUAUUCAUAGUUAAACGACCAAUAGUAUGAUUUGUUUUCAAUAAUCAAAUUAUCACUUAUUAAUUGUUUUAUUUUUUGUAUUGCGGUAAAAAAAUAAAAAAAUUGAAGUUGAAAAAUGUUUUUUUAAAAUAAGCUUUAAAUUUAUUUGUUCAACAAAAAAAUUUGAUUUUUUCAACAAAAAAAUUGUAAUAUGAAGUUGGAGGAAAGUUUUAGAAAAUGUUUUCCUUAAGUUUUGAAGGGAAGUCAUUUUUCUUGAAUUUGAGGAAAAUGAGUUGAUUUGGAAAAUAUUUUCCUAAACAUUUUACCCAACCAAACAUGAAAAAAAUUGGAAAACAUUUUCCGGAAAAUGUUUUCCUUCAUACCAAACACACCCUUAGUCCUUUUGUUAUUCAUAAAUUUAAUGUUAAUUUUUAUGAUAUCUAACUAAACACAUUAAAUCUUUAGUUAAUUAAAAUAUGCAUAUUUUAAUUCUUUUGCUCGUAAAUAUUUACCAAUUUUCUAUGAUUAUUAACUGUUCCAUUAUCUAAUUAUUUUUGAUUUGUUGUGUUGUGUUAAGUUUAUAGUAUUUCCUCAUAUUUGAUGGUAAAUAUAACUCUAAAAAUAAUCUGAAUAUAAUAUAUUUUAUGCAAAGAAACAAAAGUAGAAUAAAAUUAAAUAUGUUAGGUAGGGCUGUUCAAAAUGGAAUCGAAAUCGAUAACUCAAAUCGAAAAAAAGUUAUUAAUUUAUUGAUAAUAGGUUAUUUGUUUAACGAUUUUGGUAUUGGUUUUUGAUUUUUUUAUCAUCGGGUUAUUGAUUCUUAACGAAAUUGAAGUUUUUUCUUAAUGGGUUAAUUGAUAACUAGAUAAUAAAUUAAUAAAUUAUAUUAAUACCAUUUUGGUAUAUAAAGUCCUUUGACUUAGGAUUUAGUUUCAUAUUUUCAAUUCUUUUUUUGGUAACCAAUGUAAACUAUUACCAUACCAUCCAAAAACAAUUACAAAUAAAGAGUACCCUCUCCUGAUAACAGGUUGAGGUCUCCAACCAAACAAGGAAACUAAUUACAAAAUAAAUGCUGAAUGAAACCUCUACAUCUUUGAGCUUUCUUUGAAUUACUCAAGAAUUGUAUUCUUUCUGUUAUCUCCUUCUUAAUCUGUAUGACUACAUCUUUUGUAUUUACAUUCUUUCCUUUGUACUUCUUCCAAUUUCUAACACGCCAAGUGUGAUAUAGGACUGCUCCACUAAUUGCCGCAAUAAUCUCCUUUUUAAACUGCUUCCAAUGUUUCUCCUUUAUUCCAUCCAGAAACUGUGUGAUCCCAUUGUUUAUCAAAUAUAUACCUGUCCACCAAACUAUCUCUUGCCAUACCAUCUUAGACCAUUUACAUUCUUCAAACAAAUGCCUUGUGGUCUCCAUAACUUUCUCUUCACAUAGACAACAUUCAGUGUCAUCAACCUGAAUGUGCAGUCUCAACUUUCUCUCUUGUGUAAGCAAUCGACCUUGUAUAGCUAGCCACACCAUGAAUCUGUGUUUUGGUAGAGCCACAGCAGUCCACACUAAAUCAGCAGUUUCCAAUUGUUGUCUUUGCCCUUUAAUUGCCAAAUAACUCCGUGUGAUGGAAUAUGUACCAUUUUUUGUCAACAUGUAUUUUCAAUUCUGACAGUCUCAAACUUUCAGUUAUUCUACAAUGUGUUAGUGUUGUUUUUUAGCAAGAUACAAUUUAUCAACUCAUGUGCAUCGUUUAUUUGAUUUGUCACCAUGUUCUAAGAGAUUUUCAAUAAUUUAUUUUCGUGUCAAAUCAUAACGAUUAAACCAAUAACAAAACCGGUAACGAUCAAUAACCGAUAAACCGAUAAGCCAAUAUAUUAAUGGUUCUUAACGGUUUAGCACAUCUACAAAUUGAUAACCGAUUAGUUGAACCGAUAAACUUCAAAACCGAACCGAAUCAACCAAUGCAACACAUAUAUCACAAAAAUCAAAAUCAAAAUCAAAAUUUAUUGAUAUAUAAAUGAUGAACCAAAAGUAUUUACAAACCGUUCUGAAAAUAAUGUGAAACUCCAAAAAUACUAACUAAAAUAACUGCUUUAAACUCCAAAAAUUGAAUGUCUCAACUCUCAAGUGGAUCAAGUUAUCUUUUUUACUCAAAAAUAGAAUUGCACUAUUUAAUGUGUAAAAUUGCUGACAUUUCACUUAGUGAUAAAAAAUUAAAAACGUUAGAUGAUGAAAAAUUGAAAAACUUUAUCAAGCCAAAAACAUAAUCGAUUUGUACUAUUCACAAUGUAAAAAAUAGGUUUUGACAUUUUUUUAAGAAAAAAAUUGAGAUUUUUAAGGGUGAAUUUGAUGAAAAGAAUAUUACAUUAACCUUGAAUAUUUCUUAAAACAUUAUGUAAGUCUUUAUGAAUGAUAGUGAUACGUACAAGAUGGCUCAAACACUAUCAUUAUAAAUUAGAUUUGAAUUAAAAAAAAUACAAAUAUUAUUAUAUAAAUUAAAGCUUAAUUUAUUUUAGUUUAUAAAAUACUUUUUAUUUUUUAUUUUUUGAAAAAGACUUAACACAUUUUUCUAUUUGGAGAUUCUUUAUUUUUAACGUUCAUUUAUCCUUAAUGACAUCAAUGUAAGAUUUGUGGAAAACAUUUUAGUCUCAUAAAAAAUUGAUUCUAUAUCCAAUAUAGACUUUUUAUUUAAUUGUAGCACAAACAUGAUUUAAAUUCCUAAAAGAAUGAAAUAAAGAAAUAGUGACAAAUUUUUUUGUUACAGAUUCUCAGUUACAUCACAUUUUAAAAAAAAUGUCAUAAUUGGGGAUAUUUCUAGUUUUAAAGUGGUUUUAUUUCAGGUUAAUGUCUUCAAUUAUCUAUCAUUACUGUUGAAUGAUAUGUGUCAAAUCUCUUUUUAGCAAUCCAAUUGAAGUAUUUCUCUUCUCAUUUGUAUCCCAAUUUUGUUCCAAUGAUAGUUUUUGUUUAUUGUCAGUCAAUUUAAGAACAAAUACUCGAUCAUUAUAUUAUUUCCCGCAUAUUUUUAUCUUCCUUUCUCUCUCCAACUCUUUUCUUUUCAUUUUCUCGAUCGCCAUUUUUCAUAUCAUCAAAUAACUUUUUUUUCUGUGAACUUAUUGUUUUUAUCCAUGUUCUUUUCUAUUAUGGAAAGAUUAUCAAUCUAAGUACAUGGUAUUAGUCGAAAAAUUCACUUCUCUUUAGUCAUUAUUACCUUUUAAAAAAAAACUAUUUCAUUAGAUAAGGUAUGCAUAAGGCUAAUUUUUAUUAGUAAAGAAAAAAAAAAUUAAAGGACCUCAAAGGAAAAAUACAAGUAAGGGAGAAAAGUACAAAUAAGGGGUAUCAGAACAGUUUCGGAUAAAUUAUAAUUUCUUGUUAUGUCCCUUUGGAUAAACUAUUUUUGAUUCGCUUAAUACCAAUAAAAAUGAAGAUAUAGAUAUUUAUAAUUAUAAUUAUUUUGGAGAUAACUUGAAUCUCUUAUAUUCAAACCGCUUCAUAAUUAUAUUGAUUUGUUGUUCUUCAUGUCUACUAUGAAACUCUGCAUCACUAAUUCUCCAUCUUCGUCGUUUAAAGCAUGAAGCAACUUCCAAAUUUUUGAAUUGGAUCUUGAAUUUUUUGUUUUAGAAACUAUUACUCUUUUAUUAGGAGUAUAAUUAAUGAUGUAGUUUUGAUACUUAUAAAUGAUAAAUAAAAAAGAACGGAGAAAUUUUGAUAUAUUUUUUGUUCAUAAUUAGAAUAUGCGAUAAACAAAACUAUAUACAUUUGAGAAAUUCUCUAUUCUUCAAAAAAAAAAUUGUCAAUUCUCAAUCUGUCCAAAUCGAGAAAAUAAAAGCACAUUAUGAAAAAAAAAGUGUGCAUAAAAAUUUGCAUUUAGUCUAUUCUACUGAAUUAGUUACAUUUCAAUUUGUAUAAAUUCAACAUUAACUUAAUAAAAUAGGAUGGCAUAGAAACUCAACUUUGAACCGGAAAAACAAGUGCACAAAAGUAAUUUAUGUUUAAGCCAUCAAUCUAUGAACUUUACAAAUAAUAUGUGUUUAAUUCAAUAAAUUAAAUUAAAUAUUGCAUAUCGCCCUUUAUUUUUCUUUUGGGACAUGAUUUUCAAUUCAAAGUUGCUACAUUCUGCACUCAAGGAAAAUCCAAUAUUAUUAUAUUUUGGGUGCCAUCGAAAUAGACCACAAAUCAACAUUCCAAAUGCAUGGUGCAAUUGUGACAAAAAAGACUAAAAGACAAAAUAAUGCAAUGUCUCAUACUAGUUUAGUAAUAUUUUAUAUUGCAAGUCGUUUUCUGAAUUGACACUAGAAACCCUUAGACUUACAGACAGACGCCAAAAAAGGAAAACAAAAUUAAAAAUGGAAUGGAUUAAACUUUUAUACACUAACCAGUACAAUAGUCAAGUGCGGCAACCAGACGGCAAUAAGUAUUUAAACGUGAAGGAUUGAUGGCUGAGACAAAAGACUCUCACCAUACAUUAUAAAUACUCAUUUCCUUCACUUCCAUUUCCAUCAUCACUUGUUCAAUUUCUCUAAGCACAAAAUUAACACUUCUUUUUCACAAGCUAACUGUAGAAGAAAUGGCCCUAGCUGCUGCAGUGAUGAGUAACUACGGAGAGGAGGAGAUUGUUCGCCCUGUUGCUGACUUCUCUCCAAGUCUUUGGGGUGAUCGUUUCCAUUAUUUCUCCCUCGAUAAUCAGGUAUAUUUAAUUGAUUUGUCUGUUUAAAGCACAUUGUUUAAUAAAAUGUAUUACUUAUUAUAUAAAUUUUCAUUUGGAUAAAUUAAUUUAUAGGUUGAAAAAGAGUAUGCUCAAGAGAUUGAAACAUUGAAAGAGCAAACAAGGAGUAUGUUGUUAGCUGCGAGUGGAAUGACAUUGGCUGAGAAGUUGAAUCUGAUAGACAUUGUUGAGCGCCUUGGCUUAGCUUACCAUUUUGAGAAACAAAUAGAAGACAUGUUGGAUCAAAUUUACAAAGCACAUCCUAACUUUGAGAGUCAUGAAUACAGUGACUUAACUACUUUAUCCGUUCAGUUUCGACUACUGAGACAACAUGGUUACAAUAUCUCUCCAAGUACGUAAUAUAAUAUAAUAUAAUAUAAUAAUCAACACCGUUACACUAGCACGUAACUAAUAGUAAGUAAUAUUUUGUUUUCAACUUGAACCAGAAAUUUUUAGCAGAUACCAAGAUGCAAAGGGAAAAUUUAACGAACCCCUUAGCAACGACAUCAAAGGUCUAUUGAACUUAUAUGAAGCUUCACAUGUAAGGACUCAUGGAGAAGACAUCUUAGAAGAGGCACUUGCUUUCUCCACUGCUCAUCUUGAAUCUGCAGCUCCACAUUUGAAGUCACCUCUGAGUAAGCAAGUCACACAUGCCCUUGAGCAAUCUCUCCAUAAGAGCAUUCCAAGAGUUGAGACACGAUACUUCAUCUCUAUCUACGAAGAGGAGGAACAUAAGAAUGAUGUGUUGCUUCGAUUUGCAAAACUGGACUUCAACUUACUUCAGAUGUUGCACAAACAAGAACUCAGUGAAGUAUCAAGGUAUGCUAGCUAGUAAUUUACAUGAAAAAUAUAAAUUAAUUGUUACUCGAUAGUAAUUUCUCAAAUCAAUUCUAAAUUUUUAAGAUUGAUUCUUAUUUUAUAGGUGGUGGAAAGAUUUGGAUUUUGUGACAACACUUCCAUAUGCUAGGGAUAGAGCAGUUGAGUGCUACUUUUGGACGAUGGGAGUGUAUGCUGAACCUCAGUAUUCUCAUGCUCGUGUCAUGCUUGCUAAGACUAUAGCAAUGAUUUCUAUAGUAGAUGACACAUUCGAUGCUUAUGGAAUCGUAAAAGAACUCGAGGUUUACACCGAUGCCAUACAGAGGUAUGAACAAUUGCCUCUCCAACAGCAAAUGGUUAAUUUCUUAGAAGGGAAACUUACUUAAUCUUUAUCUUUUAUUAGGUGGGAUAUCAGCCAAAUUGAUCGGCUCCCAGAUUACAUGAAAAUCAGUUAUAAAGCACUUCUAGAUCUCUACAACGAUUAUGAAACAGAGUUGUCAAUGGAUGGUAGAUCCGAUGUUGUUCACUACGCCAAAGAAAGAGUAUGAAUCAUGACUUAUACUAGUUAUCUCAAUAUUAAUCAGUUUGUUAACGAAUAUCUGUAGCUUUUUCUCCUCAUCUUUGCGUAUAAGGAAAUUCAUUUUUUGAAUAAAUACUGAUGUUUGAGUGUCUUUGCUUGUUGUUGACAGAUGAAAGAAAUCGUGAGAAACUAUUUUGUGGAAGCAAAAUGGUUCAUUGAAGGAUACAUGCCACCUGUUUCUGAGUAUCUUAGCAAUGCAUUAGCUACUAGCACUUAUUACUUGCUUACGACAACAUCCUACUUGGGCGUGAAAUCUGCUAACAAGGAAGAUUUUGAAUGGUUGGCUAAGAACCCUAAAAUCCUUGAAGCCAAUGUGACUUUAUGUCGAGUCAUUGAUGAUAUAGCAACCUAUGAAGUUGAGAAGGGUAGAGGUCAGAUUGCAACUGGAAUUGAGUGUUAUAUGAGGGAUUAUGGCGUAUCAACAGAAGUAGCAAUGGAAAAAUUCCAAGAGAUGGCUGAGAUAGCAUGGAAGGAUGUAAAUGAAGGAAUUCUUCGACCAACACCUAUCUCUACAGAAAUCCUUACUCGUAUUCUCAAUCUGGCUCGUAUUAUAGAUGUCACUUACAAGCACAAUCAAGAUGGAUACACUCAUCCAGAGAAGGUUCUAAAACCUCACAUUAUCGCUUUGUUGGUAGAUUCUAUUGAAAUUUAAAUUAUCAAUUCACCAAGGAAUACUUGGUACUUCUCAGUCCCUUAAAUAAGUAAUUGGUGAUAUCGUGCAAUGAAGUUACUUUCUUAACUUUCUUCUUUGUAUUAUCAUUGAUAAUAUUUAAAUUUAAUUACUUCAGUUUCUACCUAGCUGCUUUAGCUUAAUUUGUUUAAGUUAUGUAAAACAAUUCUGAAAGUCAUGACGUGAAAGAAUAUGCUUCAACAGUUUCUGAUUAGCCACAAGAAAAUAAAUAAAAAAUUGAAUAUUCC